Molecule: ribosomal RNA, 434 nt
Filed under: uncultured Clostridium sp.
Lineage: Bacteria; Bacillati; Bacillota; Clostridia; Eubacteriales; Clostridiaceae
Description: partial 16S ribosomal RNA
Rfam family: Bacterial small subunit ribosomal RNA
Source: RNAcentral
ACGGGAGGCAGCAGUGGGGGAUAUUGCACGAUGGGGGAAACCCUGAUGCAGCGACGCCGCGUGAGUGAAGAAGUAUUUCGGUAUGUAAAGCUCUAUCAGCAGGGAAGAAAAUGACGGUACCUGACUAAGAAGCUCCGGCUAAAUACGUGCCAGCAGCCGCGGUACUACGUAUGGAGCAAGCGUUAUCCGGAUUUACUGGGUGUAAAGGGAGCGCAGACGGUUUGCCAAGUCUGAUGUGAAAGCUAGGGGCUCAACCCCUAAACUGCAUUGGAAACUGGUAGACUAGAGUGUCGGAGAGGUAAGUGGAAUUCCUAGUGUAGCGGUGAAAUGCGUAGAUAUUAGGAGGAACACCAGUGGCGAAGGCGGCUUACUGGACGAUAACUGACGUUGAGGCUCGAAAGCGUGGGGGGCAAACAGGAUUAGAUACCCUGGUA